Molecule: ribosomal RNA, 788 nt
Filed under: Bacillus sp. 77B4_12AMannit
Lineage: Bacteria; Bacillati; Bacillota; Bacilli; Caryophanales; Bacillaceae
Description: bacterial SSU rRNA
Rfam family: Bacterial small subunit ribosomal RNA
Source: RNAcentral
AUGCAAGUCGAGCGGACAGAUGGGAGCUUGCUCCCUGAUGUUAGCGGCGGACGGGUGAGUAACACGUGGGUAACCUGCCUGUAAGACUGGGAUAACUCCGGGAAACCGGGGCUAAUACCGGAUGGUUGUUUGAACCGCAUGGUUCAAACAUAAAAGGUGGCUUCGGCUACCACUUACAGAUGGACCCGCGGCGCAUUAGCUAGUUGGUGAGGUAACGGCUCACCAAGGCAACGAUGCGUAGCCGACCUGAGAGGGUGAUCGGCCACACUGGGACUGAGACACGGCCCAGACUCCUACGGGAGGCAGCAGUAGGGAAUCUUCCGCAAUGGACGAAAGUCUGACGGAGCAACGCCGCGUGAGUGAUGAAGGUUUUCGGAUCGUAAAGCUCUGUUGUUAGGGAAGAACAAGUACCGUUCGAAUAGGGCGGUACCUUGACGGUACCUAACCAGAAAGCCACGGCUAACUACGUGCCAGCAGCCGCGGUAAUACGUAGGUGGCAAGCGUUGUCCGGAAUUAUUGGGCGUAAAGGGCUCGCAGGCGGUUUCUUAAGUCUGAUGUGAAAGCCCCCGGCUCAACCGGGGAGGGUCAUUGGAAACUGGGGAACUUGAGUGCAGAAGAGGAGAGUGGAAUUCCACGUGUAGCGGUGAAAUGCGUAGAGAUGUGGAGGAACACCAGUGGCGAAGGCGACUCUCUGGUCUGUAACUGACGCUGAGGAGCGAAAGCGUGGGGAGCGAACAGGAUUAGAUACCCUGGUAGUCCACGCCGUAAACGAUGAGUGCUAAGUGUUA